Molecule: long non-coding RNA, 523 nt
Organism: Haplochromis burtoni (Burton's mouthbrooder)
Lineage: Eukaryota; Metazoa; Chordata; Actinopteri; Cichliformes; Cichlidae
Exons: 3
Source: RefSeq, a predicted model, not a curated record
CAGAGGGUUUUGACAGUGUUCACUCCAGAUAUCCUGCUCCAAGUGGAACUGAUCAGAAUAGACGCCUCUCUCAGCACUGCCGGGUAUUCCAGCUUCCUCCCACAGUCCAAAGUAUUUUGAUAAAGGCUCUGUCGAAGUGUUUGGCUGCUGUACCGGACGGGUGGAGAGUGUCCCCAUCAACACUGAGGUGAAGUGAAAUCUCAAACCGACGGAGCUUUCCCUGGUGACUCGGCAACAUGGCUAAUGGCUUUGCUCAGGGCCUGUCCAGGCAUAGCUUGUCAAUACAAUUCUGUUCCGCUUUUCCCACUUGCCAGUUCCCAUCUGGAGCCAAUUCAUGAACUAAGAUGGUGUGUACCUUUCCCAUGAGGUCACUGCCUGUUUCUACACAACACUUAGCCCCAGUCCUGCCUUUCACAUCCCAUGUGCUCCUCUUUCUUCUCGCUCCACUGAGCUUCUUUUUCAUUGUGACAGACCAUACAGGGAAGUGCUUUACAGUAACUUAACUUCCUCUUUACUGUAAGGC